UUACUUUCAUAUUAGUGCUUUCCUAAUAAAUUCCCAGCCCUUUUAACUUCACUCGAAAAGGCUAUACAGUUGUCCGAGAGAUGAAGUUUUGGCUCUCAAGAAAUUCUGUACGAUUGGUACGAUCAUCAUGAUUUAACUGGCCUCGGGAACGUACAACCUUCAUCACCGCACUUGUUCCUUUUAGUCCUCCUUUCUGUCUUCUUGCAACAUCUCGUUUUACUGAUUUAGAAGGUUUCCUCGUCUUACUGAACAGAAAUUUUUGCAACAUGCAUAUGAUAAGAAGCAAGAUGAAAGUGCAGAAAACAUAACUAUUACUAAGUGAGGAUAGGUUUAUUCAAUAGGCUGAAUUUGAUUUGAGAUAGUGAAUGUUAUUACUAAGUGAGCUAUUAGCUUGUUGCAAUCAGUAAGAGAGGGGAUAAAAUAUUACUUAAGAAUAUAACUCUAAUAAAGGGGAAUUACUUAGUCCUACAACUAGAGAAUUUGAAGUAGAGAAAAAGUAAUUAGUAGGGGACAAAA
RNAcentral lists this long non-coding RNA (516 nucleotides) under Gossypium barbadense (sea-island cotton). RNAcentral's name for it is "long non-coding RNA (GBAR_LNC014889)". The record is from RNAcentral. Lineage: Eukaryota; Viridiplantae; Streptophyta; Magnoliopsida; Malvales; Malvaceae.